UCAGUCGGCCGGACGGCCGCUCCCGCUACGGUCGAAAGGCUGCGGGGGAGGAAAGUCCGGGCUCCAUCGACAUACGGUGCCGGAUAACGUCCGGCGGGGGCAACCCCAGGGAAAGUGCCACAGAGAACGAACCGCUCCGUCUCCGGACGGAGUAAGGGUGAAAAGGUGCGGUAAGAGCGCACCGCGUAUCCGGCAACGGAAACGGCAUGGCAAACCCCACCGGGAGCAAAACCGAAUAGGGACGGCAAUGCGGGUCCGUUCGCGAGAGCGAUAACGCCGCAGGGCGAUGUCAGGCUCGCCGUCCGGGUAGGUUGCUCGAGGCCAUGUGCAAACCUGGUCCCAGAGGAAUGGCCGUCACGUACCAUUCGCAAGAAUGGUGCCCUACAGAACCCGGCUUACAGGCUGGCUGAUGUU
RNAcentral lists this RNase P RNA (414 nucleotides) under Bradyrhizobium valentinum. RNAcentral describes it as "bacterial RNase P". It matches the Rfam family "Bacterial RNase P class A". Rfam says of the family: Ribonuclease P (RNase P) is a ubiquitous endoribonuclease, found in archaea, bacteria and eukarya as well as chloroplasts and mitochondria. Its best characterised activity is the generation of mature 5'-ends of tRNAs by cleaving the 5'-leader elements of precursor-tRNAs. The record is from RNAcentral. Lineage: Bacteria; Pseudomonadati; Pseudomonadota; Alphaproteobacteria; Hyphomicrobiales; Nitrobacteraceae.